This 508-nucleotide ribosomal RNA is filed under the name uncultured bacterium. RNAcentral's name for it is "partial 16S ribosomal RNA". It matches the Rfam family "Bacterial small subunit ribosomal RNA", at positions 28 to 523 of the family's 1533-position model. The record is from RNAcentral.
GACGAACGCUGGCGGCGCGCUUAAUACAUGCAAGUCGAGCGAGAACCGGAGCUUCGGCUCCGGGGACAGCGGCGAACGGGUGAGUGACACGUGGGUAACCUGCCCUCGGCACCGGGAUAGCCCGGGGAAACCCGGAUUAAUACCGGAUGGCCCUUUCGGUCUUCGGACCGGUCGGCAAAGGUAGCUUCGGCCUCCGGCCGAGGAUGGGCCCGCGGCGGAUUAGCUUGUUGGUGAGGUAACGGCUCACCAAGGCUCCGAUCCGUAGCUGGUCUGAGAGGACGAUCAGCCACACUGGGACUGAGACACGGCCCAGACUCCUACGGGAGGCAGCAGUAGGGAAUCUUGCGCAAUGGGCGAAAGCCUGACGCAGCGACGCCGCGUGCGGGAAGACGGCCUUCGGGUUGUAAACCGCUUUCAGGAGGGACGAAGCCACUCGGGUGAAUAGCCCAGAGGGUGACGGUACCUCCAGAAGAAGCCCCGGCUAACUACGUGCCAGCCGCCGCAGUAA